UACGUAGGGUGCAAGCGUUGUUCGGAAUUACUGGGCGUAAAGCGCGCGUAGGCGGGCUUAUAUGUCGAUUGUGAAAGCCCUGGGCUUAACCCGGGACGUGCAGUCGAAACUGUAAGUCUUGAGUGCCUGAGAGGAUGGCGGAAUUCCCGGUGUAGUAGUGAAAUACGUAGAUAUCGGGAAGAACACCUGAGGCGAAGGCGGCUAUCUGGCGGUGCACUGACGCUGAGACACGAAAGCGUGGGUAGCAAACAGG
RNAcentral lists this ribosomal RNA (253 nucleotides) under uncultured prokaryote. RNAcentral's name for it is "partial 16S ribosomal RNA". It matches the Rfam family "Bacterial small subunit ribosomal RNA", at positions 524 to 776 of the family's 1533-position model. The record is from RNAcentral.